GUGCAAUGCGGCUGCUAUACAUGCAGUCGAGCGGACAGAUGGGAGCUUGCUCCCUGAUGUUAGCGGCGGACGGGUGAGUAACACGUGGGUAACCUGCCUGUAAGACUGGGAUAACUCCGGGAAACCGGGGCUAAUACCGGAUGCUUGUUUGAACCGCAUGGUUCAAACAUAAAAGGUGGCUUCGGCUACCACUUACAGAUGGACCCGCGGCGCAUUAGCUAGUUGGUGAGGUAAUGGCUCACCAAGGCAACGAUGCGUAGCCGACCUGAGAGGGUGAUCGGCCACACUGGGACUGAGACACGGCCCAGACUCCUACGGGAGGCAGCAGUAGGGAAUCUUCCGCAAUGGACGAAAGUCUGACGGAGCAACGCCGCGUGAGUGAUGAAGGUUUUCGGAUCGUAAAGCUCUGUUGUUAGGGAAGAACAAGUACCGUUCGAAUAGGGCGGUGCCUUGACGGUACCUAACCAGAAAGCCACGGCUAACUACGUGCCAGCAGCCGCGGUAAUACGUAGGUGGCAAGCGUUGUCCGGAAUUAUUGGGCGUAAAGGGCUCGCAGGCGGUUUCUUAAGUCUGAUGUGAAAGCCCCCGGCUCAACCGGGGAGGGUCAUUGGAAACUGGGGAACUUGAGUGCAGAAGAGGAGAGUGGAAUUCCACGUGUAGCGGUGAAAUGCGUAGAGAUGUGGAGGAACACCAGUGGCGAAGGCGACUCUCUGGUCUGUAACUGACGCUGAGGAGCGAAAGCGUGGGGAGCGAACAGGAUUAGAUACCCUGGUAGUCCACGCCGUAAACGAUGAGUGCUAAGUGUUAGGGGGUUUCCGCCCCUUAGUGCUGCAGCUAACGCAUUAAGCACUCCGCCUGGGGAGUACGGUCGCAAGACUGAAACUCAAAGGAAUUGACGGGGGCCCGCACAAGCGGUGGAGCAUGUGGUUUAAUUCGAAGCAACGCGAAGAACCUUACCAGGUCUUGACAUCCUCUGACAAUCCUAGAGAUAGGACGUCCCCUUCGGGGGCAGAAUGACAGGUGGUGCAGGGUUGUCGUCACCUCCUGUCCUGAGAUGUUGGGUUAAUUCCCGCAACGAGCGCAACCCUUGAUCUUAUUUGCCACCAUUCAUUUGGGCACUCUAAGGUGACGGCCCGUGACAACCCGAGAAAGGUGGGGGGUGAGGUCCAUCAACCCGCGCCCUAUAACCGGGGGGACCACCUGGUUCCAUGGGCGAAAAAAAGGGGGCGAAACCCCCGGGUUAGCCAACCCCCCAAUUUUUUUUUUUUUUGAAGAAAACCGCCCCCCACCGGGGGGGGGGGAAACCCCUUUUAUCCCG
RNAcentral lists this ribosomal RNA (1318 nucleotides) under Bacillus spizizenii. RNAcentral describes it as "partial 16S ribosomal RNA". It matches the Rfam family "Bacterial small subunit ribosomal RNA", at positions 33 to 1345 of the family's 1533-position model. The record is from RNAcentral. Lineage: Bacteria; Bacillati; Bacillota; Bacilli; Caryophanales; Bacillaceae.